UACGUAGGGCGCAAGCGUUGUCCGGAAUUAUUGGGCGUAAAGAGCUCGUAGGCGGCUUGUCACGUCGGGUGUGAAAGCCCGGGGCUUAACCCCGGGUCUGCAUUCGAUACGGGCUAGCUAGAGUGUGGUAGGGGAGAUCGGAAUUCCUGGUGUAGCGGUGAAAUGCGUAGAUAUCGAGAGGAACACCUGCGGCGAAGGCGGGUUGCUGGGCCGACACUGACGCUGAUGCGCGAAAGCCAGGGGAGCGAACGGG
Molecule: ribosomal RNA, 253 nt
Filed under: uncultured bacterium
Lineage: Bacteria
Description: partial 16S ribosomal RNA
Rfam family: Bacterial small subunit ribosomal RNA
Source: RNAcentral